GUGGGAACCCUCCACCGCCUCCUUUCACCAGGGCCUACCUCAUCCCCGCACCCCCGCGAGCGUGCUCCGUGGCCCCUACCGCUGCUCCCUUCCGGGCCUUGCGGGGUUUGGGGCCUAAAGGGGGUUAGCACGGCCCUUCAGCCGUGCCUCCCCCACCGGGCACCCCGCGGGACGAGGACUCAUCGUUCGGCCCUGGCUUCCGGAGGCGGCUUCGGGAACCGCCCCUCGGGCUUCGGCCCCGGCAUAUCGGCGGUUUCCGGUUACAGGGGACGCCGAACCCCCCGGCCUAGCCCGCCGCCAAUUAACUACUAUCAAGUUUACGUAUAUAAAGGUUUGGCUCUUAACAUUCAGAUGUCAAAAACAUUUAAAAAUGGAAAGCCUGCUUGUUAU
This 390-nucleotide ribosomal RNA is filed under the name Pyrococcus abyssi GE5. RNAcentral describes it as "7S ribosomal RNA". Lineage: Archaea; Methanobacteriati; Methanobacteriota; Thermococci; Thermococcales; Thermococcaceae. The record is from RNAcentral.